RNAcentral lists this ribosomal RNA (429 nucleotides) under uncultured bacterium. Its description in RNAcentral is "bacterial SSU rRNA". It matches the Rfam family "Bacterial small subunit ribosomal RNA", at positions 354 to 796 of the family's 1533-position model. The record is from RNAcentral.
GUGGGGAAUUUUCCGCAAUGGGCGAAAGCCUGACGGAGCAAUACCGCGUGAGGGAAGACUGCCUAUGGGUUGUAAACCUCUUUUUUCAGGGAGGAAUAAAAUGACGUGUACCUGAAGAAUAAGCAUCGGCUAACUCCGUGCCAGCAGCCGCGGUAAGACGGAGGAUGCAAGUGUUAUCCGGAAUCACUGGGCGUAAAGCGUCUGUAGGUGGUUUAAUAAGUCAACUGUUAAAUCUUGAGGCUCAACUUCAAAACCGCAGUCGAAACUAUUAGACUAGAGUAUAGUAGAGGUAAAGGGAAUUUCCAGUGGAGCGGUGAAAUGCGUAGAUAUUGGAAAGAACACCGAUGGCGAAAGCACUUUACUGGGCUAUUACUAACACUCAGAGACGAAAGCUAGGGUAGCAAAUGGGAUUAGAAACCCUUGUAGUCC